Molecule: antisense RNA, 75 nt
Filed under: Streptomyces resistomycificus
Lineage: Bacteria; Bacillati; Actinomycetota; Actinomycetes; Kitasatosporales; Streptomycetaceae
Description: ASpks TB sRNA
Rfam family: ASpks TB sRNA
Source: Rfam by way of RNAcentral
CUUCAGCGACCCCAGCCACAGCGGGCUGUGCGCCUCGCGGUCCUGGCCGUAGGUGGCCAGCAGUGCUUCGGCUUC